AUUAUGAAUAAUGUAUUUCAAGGUUGUAAAUUGAGAGACACAGUGUAUUGCAAUUGUAAUAGGUAACAAACUAGUAGAGGUUUGUGGACUUCAAAAAGUAUAAUGGUAAAAUUAUAAUAAUGGAAACUCUACUAGUGAUAAUCAAUUAAGUCACAUUCGAAUUCUCUUGGCUAAAUUGUUUUUUUUUUUUUUCUCCUUGAGCUUUUUUCAUUACAUAUUAGUUCUAACGUGAAUAUUAGACACACUUUAAUGUGUUUUUUUUUUAAAUUUGUAUGACCUCUUAAUUGAUUCGUAUGACCUCUUAAUGAUGAUUGAGAA
RNAcentral lists this long non-coding RNA (318 nucleotides) under Lathyrus oleraceus (garden pea). Its description in RNAcentral is "Pisum sativum (pea) long non-coding RNA (PSAT_LNC002863)". The record is from RNAcentral. Lineage: Eukaryota; Viridiplantae; Streptophyta; Magnoliopsida; Fabales; Fabaceae.